This 442-nucleotide ribosomal RNA is filed under the name uncultured bacterium. RNAcentral's name for it is "partial 16S ribosomal RNA". It matches the Rfam family "Bacterial small subunit ribosomal RNA", at positions 338 to 795 of the family's 1533-position model. The record is from RNAcentral.
CCUACGGGAGACAGCAGUGGGGAAUAUUGGGCAAUGGGCGCAAGCCUGACCCAGCAACGCCGCGUGAAGGAAGAAGGCUUUCGGGUUGUAAACUUCUUUUAAGAGGGGAGAGCAGAAGACGGUACCUCUUGAAUAAGCCACGGCUAACUACGUGCCAGCAGCCGCGGUCAUACGUAGGUGGCAAGCGUUGUCCGGAUUUACUGGGUGUAAAGGGCGUGCAGCCGGGAAGACAAGUCAGAUGUGAAAUCCCGCGGCUCAACCGCGGAACUGCAUUUGAAACUGUUUUUCUUGAGUACCGGAGAGGUCAGCGGAAUUCCUUGUGUAGCGGUGAAAUGCGUAGAUAUAAGGAAGAACACCAGUGGCGAAGGCGGAUGACUGGACGGCAACUGACGGUGAGGCGCGAAAGCGUGGGGAGCAAACAGGAUUAGAUACCCCGGUAGUC